AUCGGUUUAGUAUAAUUAAGGUAAUACGAUAAAUUGUAAAUUUAUAGCUAGUAUAAUUCUAACCGAAA
This 68-nucleotide transfer RNA is filed under the name Schistosoma spindalis. RNAcentral's name for it is "Schistosoma spindale tRNA-Tyr". Lineage: Eukaryota; Metazoa; Platyhelminthes; Trematoda; Strigeidida; Schistosomatidae. The record is from RNAcentral.